GGGAGCGAGCCGUCUAAGGUGGGACAAAUGAUUAGGGUGAACCCGUAACAAGGUAGCCGUAGGAGAACCUGCGGCUGGAUCACCUCCUUUCUAAGGAAACAGACUGAAAGUCUGACGGAAACCUGCUCACACGAAAUUUUGUUUAGUUUUGAGGGGAUCACCCUCAAGCACCCUAACGGGUGCGACUUUGUUCUUUGAAAACUGGAUAUCAUUGUAUUAAUUGUUUUAAAUUGCCGAGAACACAGCGUAUUUGUAUGAGUUUCUGAAAAAGAAAUUCGCAUCGCAUAACCGCUGACGCAAGUCAGUACAGGUUAAGUUACAAAGGGCGCACGGUGGAUGCCUUGGCACUAGGAGCCGAUGAAGGACGGAACUAAUACCGAUAUGCUUCGGGGAGCUAUAAGUAAGCUUUGAUCCGGAGAUUUCCGAAUGGGGGAACCCAGUACACAUCAGUGUAUUGCUUGUCAGUGAAUACAUAGCUGGCCGGCGGCAGACGCGGGGAACUGAAACAUCUCAGUACCCGCAGGAAGAGAAAGAAAACUCGAUU
This 544-nucleotide unclassified non-coding RNA is filed under the name Lacticaseibacillus casei LC2W. RNAcentral's name for it is "Lactobacillus casei LC2W partial contains 16S ribosomal RNA, 16S-23S ribosomal RNA intergenic spacer, and 23S ribosomal RNA". The stretch from base 310 to 544 matches the Rfam family "Bacterial large subunit ribosomal RNA", at positions 1 to 236 of the family's 2925-position model. The record is from RNAcentral. Lineage: Bacteria; Bacillati; Bacillota; Bacilli; Lactobacillales; Lactobacillaceae.